AGUCGAACGGCAGCACGGACUUCGGUCUGGUGGCGAGUGGCGAACGGGUGAGUAAUGCAUCGGAACGUGCCCAAUCGUGGGGGAUAACGUAGCGAAAGUUACGCUAAUACCGCAUACGAUCUAAGGAUGAAAGCGGGGGAUCGCAAGACCUCGCGCGAAUGGAGCGGCCGAUGUUAGAUUAGGUAGUUGGUGGGGUAAAGGCUCACCAAGCCGACGAUCUAUAGCUGGUCUGAGAGGAUGAUCAGCCACACUGGGACUGAGACACGGCCCAGACUCCUACGGGAGGCAGCAGUGGGGAAUUUUGGACAAUGGGCGCAAGCCUGAUCCAGCCAUUCCGCGUGCAGGAUGAAGGCCCUCGGGUUGUAAACUGCUUUUGUACAGAACGAAAAGCUCUGGGUUAAUACCCUGGGGUCAUGACGGUACUGUAAGAAUAAGCACCGGCUAACUACGUGCCAGCAGCCGCGGUAAUACGUAGGGUGCAAGCGUUAAUCGGAAUUACUGGGCGUAAAGCGUGCGCAGGCGGUUAUGUAAGACAGAGGUGAAAUCCCCGGGCUCAACCUUGGAACUGCCUUUGUGACUGCAUAGCUAGAGUACGGCAGAGGGGGAUGGAAUUCCGCGUGUAGCAGUGAAAUGCGUAGAUAUGCGGAGGAACACCGAUGGCGAAGGCAAUCCCCUGGGCCUGUACUGACGCUCAUGCACGAAA
RNAcentral lists this ribosomal RNA (703 nucleotides) under uncultured bacterium. RNAcentral's name for it is "bacterial SSU rRNA". It matches the Rfam family "Bacterial small subunit ribosomal RNA", at positions 60 to 758 of the family's 1533-position model. The record is from RNAcentral.